RNAcentral lists this transfer RNA (170 nucleotides) under Candidatus Woesearchaeota archaeon. RNAcentral describes it as "tRNA-Ser". The record is from RNAcentral. Lineage: Archaea; Nanobdellati; Candidatus Woesearchaeota.
GCCGGGGUCGCAUAACCUGGUAGUGCGCAAGCCUGGAAAGCUUGUCCCUAACGGGAAUCUGGGUUCAAAUAUGGUGCAGCUGAUCAAGCACGAGCAAUCGCUGCCUGACUUAACACGUGGAUAAUCAGUAUCCAUGCAUGCUGUACUGUGCGAAAGUCCCAGCUCCGGCG